UACGUAGGGUGCGAGCGUUGUCCGGAAUUACUGGGCGUAAAGAGCUCGUAGGUGGUUUGUCGCGUUGUUCGUGAAAACUCACAGCUCAACUGUGGGCGUGCGGGCGGUACGGGCAGACUGGAGUACUGCAGGGGAGACUGGAAUUCCUGGUGUAGCGGUGGAAUGCGCAGAUAUCAGGAGGAACACCGGUGGCGAAGGCGGGUCUCUGGGCCGAUACUGACGCUGAGGAGCGAAAGCGUGGGGAGCGAACAGG
This 253-nucleotide ribosomal RNA is filed under the name uncultured bacterium. Its description in RNAcentral is "partial 16S ribosomal RNA". It matches the Rfam family "Bacterial small subunit ribosomal RNA", at positions 524 to 776 of the family's 1533-position model. The record is from RNAcentral.